AAAAUCCGUCCACUUUNUAAGUCGUGAGGGUUCAAGUCCCU
Molecule: transfer RNA, 41 nt
Filed under: Spermatophyta environmental sample
Lineage: Eukaryota; Viridiplantae; Streptophyta
Description: partial tRNA-Leu
Source: RNAcentral